RNAcentral lists this ribosomal RNA (253 nucleotides) under uncultured bacterium. RNAcentral describes it as "partial 16S ribosomal RNA". It matches the Rfam family "Bacterial small subunit ribosomal RNA", at positions 524 to 776 of the family's 1533-position model. The record is from RNAcentral.
UAGGGAGGGUGCAAGCGUUAAUCGGAAUUACUGGGCGUAAAGCGCACGCAGGCGGUUGGAUAAGUUAGAUGUGAAAGCCCCGGGCUCAACCUGGGAAUUGCAUUUAAAACUGUCCGGCUAGAGUCUUGUAGAGGGGGGUGGAAUUCCAGGUGUAGCGGUGAAAUGCGUAGAGAUCUGGAGGAAUACCGGUGGCGAAGGCGGCCCCCUGGACAAAGACUGACGCUCAGGUGCGAAAGCGUGGGGAGCAAACAGG